AGCACCGCCAAGUGAAGACCACGAGCUAGAGAAGUUUUGAAGCUUGAGAAAGAAACCCAGAAUCACCUCAGAGAAACCCAUCAUCACCAAGUCCGUACAGUAGCCAAGGGGAGCGGUUAAAGGGUUCAAAGGACAGGACAGCAGUAUGAAAAAGUCACAGCUAUCCUCUUUCAAGGGGCCUCAGUGGUGGAGCAGAUUAAACUGCUAAACCGCAGAACUUGCUGAAUGGAAGAGGUCCCAUAAGCAUUCACGGGAACCAUCUUCUAUCAGUUGCCUGGAAGUAAGAGACAAAUAGUCUGUGCUGCUUGCUUUUGGGUGAAUUAUGAAUGAACUGCAUUAAUAAUUGGAGAAGAAAAAAGACUGAUGAGCUCUCAGCACACUUGGUUUUAUAGCUUGACUACUCAACAUAGAACUUUGUACAGAAGCUCCAGUUGAAGCAACCAUUUCUGAGAUUUCAAUGAUUCUGAAUAAAAGCAGCGCAGAAAAAACCUAAUGCAAAUGUAUUAGAUAAAAUGUCACAGUGAUAAGAUGCAGCCUAAUCUUCUACCUUCCUCUUGGUUCAAUCCUUGAGACCUCUUAUCUCCACAUUCAGAGUCUCUAAGUCAUGUCCUUUGCUGCAGGCACCAGCAUCCCUCACCUUGCACCUGAAAGGCAAGUUAGUGCUGGCUUCCAGUUUACCCUUUUAAUGCCACACCUCCCUCGCUUAUUGGCAUGGGAAGUAUGUCCCAGUGUAGUCUAUAUGCAGAGAAAGUAGGGAGGAGAGCUAGAAAUCGCAGACUUAAAUUGUAACUCCACAAGUGUCUUCAAAGAUGACUGAGAGGGAGACAACCUAACCACUGCUGACAUUUGACUUAUUUGCUGUGACCAAAAACCAUUCUUGUUGCACUAGAGUGCACAUAUUGAUUUGUGUAUUAGGAAAUGUAACAGUCAUAUCUCUGUCACUUGGAAAAGCUGUGUAUCUCCAUAAGAUUAAAGAAAAGUAAAGCUACUAAUAAUAAUCUGUCCCAUCUAUGAGCGUGAUACGGAAUGCCCUGUAUCAGUAGGACCAAUAUACAUGGUUUCACUUCUGGUGUGAGAGAAUUGGCCAUCUGCAAGGACAUUGCCCAGGGGACGCCCGGAUGUUUUUAAUGUUUUUACAUCCUUGUGGGAGGGGCUUCUUUCAUAUCCCCGCAUGGAACUGGAGCUGACAGAGGGAGCACAUCUGUGCUUUCCCCAGGUGGGAUUCGAACCGCCGACAUGUCCGUCAGCAGUCCUGCUGGCACAAGGCUUUAACCCAUUGCGCCACGAGGCUCCUUUAUCAAUUUAUCCCAUUGAAAAUUAUAGUUUGCUAUUAUCCUUGGUUUGAUGUAUCCAUGCUAAGUUCAGGAACACAUCCCCUGUGGAUAUUGGAGAGAGGGAUCAUACUGUAUUGAGAUCAGUAGGUUAGCAUGCCUCACAAAUAAUGUUUUGCUUCUGUUAUUACUGUGUGCAGUUGUGAUACCAAAAUAACCAUGUACCAUUGACCUUUUACAUUUGCAGAUUUGAAUAUCACAAAAUUUGAUUAAAAUGUUUUCCCUUGGAAUCUUUAGGUUCUCCAGAGUAACUCUAUGAUCACAUGCUAGAGGACCUAGAGCAGGGGUCCUCAAACUUUUAAAGCAGAGGGCCAGUCCACAAUCCUUCAGAAUGUUGAGGGGCCGAAUUAUCAUUUGAAAAAAAAAAUACAAAUUCCUAUGCAUACUGCACAUGUCUUAUUUGUAGUGAAACAACAACAACAAAGAAAUAACAAUACAAUAUUUAAAAAUGAAAACAAUUUUAACCAACAUAAACCUAUCAGGAUUUCAAUGGAAAGUGUAGGUCUGCUUCUGGUCAAUGAAAUAGUCAAGUUAAUUAGGAUUGUUGUUGUUGUGUGACUUCAAGUCAUUUCAGACCAAGCCUAAGUCUAAAAUUAAUUAAUUAUUUACUGCAUUUAUUUACUACAUUUAUAUCCCACCCUUCUCACCCCGAAGGGGACUCAGAGCAGGUAUAUGUACAUACAAUAUAUUAUAUUAUUAGCAUAGCACAAUAUUAGCAUUAUAUAUUACUAUAGUGAACUAUACCACUAUACUAUUAUAUGUUAUGUAACAUAUAACAUAUAAUUAAUAUUAUUAUAUGGUAUUAUUAUUAGUAUUAUAUUGUAUAACAUAAUAUUAUUAUCAAUAUUAUAUGUAUAUACAAUAUAUUAUAUUAUUAAAACUAAUACAAAAAUAUUAUAUUAUAAAACUGAGGGUGGGGGCCAGGUAAAUGACCUUGGAGGGCCGCAUCCGGCCCCCGGGCCUUAGUUUGGGGACCCCUGACCUAGAGAUUCUAGUAAGGUAUUCUCUUGGGUAAACACAUUUCCAUACAUCUUCAUGUUAAUGGAAAUUGUGGAUUUUUUUUAUUCAGGCAUCACACACUGCUCCCUUGGCCCCUUCUAUGGCAUAUUCCUACCACCAGCAGUUACAAGUUGCCUAUCCCACUGGGACAGGCAGCUAAAAAAAGAAAUCAAAAUACAAUAUUUUGAGUGUUGUUCCUAGCCAUGAAUCUUUCAUUGCCCUUAAUCCAGUUUAAUUUUCUUAUAUCCAGCAACAUUUGUCCAUAUCUAUAUAUACCUAUGAAAGAAGAAACCAUGCAGUACACAGUGGGAUUAUGAAAGACAAUCCAUCAUGCAGUUUGGUGGUUUCUCACCACAAAAUCUCAUUUUUAACUUGCCAGUUAUGGAAUAAAUAUCAAACCACACAGGGGAGUUUAAUUGUGAACAGCACUAUAUUAGCAUCACAGUCCAGGACCUAGGCCAUGCCAAUGGACUCUUAACAUAUGAUACCUUCAGAAUCAAACGCCGGCGAUACACUCUCGUGGUGAUUCUCUGUUCUUCAUCUGAGCUUGAAUCACUCCCAAUCACAAUGUCACUGUCACUGUCACUGUCACUAAACUCCUGAUAAAUGCAGUUUUUAGUACAUUUUACCAGCUCAUUUAAAAGACAAACAUGAAUCUAAGCAGGAACAGAGGGGAGGAGGAAAAGGUUAUUCCCAACAUUAGUUCAUCCCCUAUAACAACACAAUAGGAAUGUGUGUAAAUCUGCUCUCGGGGUUGGCUAGUGUUUGAAUUUGGGGACACUCUGCUACGGUCAUGGCAACAUUGACCUCUAGAGGUUUUCAGACCCAACAUGGGUUUGUACAGGUACAGCCAUUAUGCUGUUUCCUUACAAGACACUGUUUACUCACAGAGAUGAACCCUUGGGAACCUGCCCAACUCCAUUACAAAACUCUCCGUUUCUUCUGUUGGUAAUCUACUGUUUGCAGGUCAGGUUCAUCCUCAAGAUUUCCUUCUCCCAUUCUUUGCUCUCGUUCCAGUGGUACUAAACAUGUUUCUCAGAACUAUAUUUUCUGUGAAGCUAAGUGGGCAACAGGAUCCUUAUGAGGACUUAGCUAGCACUAUCUCCAUUGGGCUCUCCACAUGUGACAUAAGGCCUCUGUGGCCUUUUGUAUAGGCUGCAAAAUGGCUUUGGGUUUAAAGAUGAAUUUCAAAUCCACCGAGCUCUUUCCUUCACUUAUACAACUUUCAUCUCUAGCUAACCAAUGAUUGCACCUUCAUGUGGCUCUCGACUGGCAACAGAUGGCAGUAAACACACACCUAACACUUUGGCCAAACAUGUUUGUUUUUUUUAGUGUGGAGGGUUUAGUGCCCUAUCCAUCCAAUUUGGAGGCAAGGUUUCCAAUAGAAAUCCUUUCCAAUCCUCUAUGACCUCUCUUUCCAGCCCUCUGAAUCUACAGUCUCUCUUGUCAUGGCUGAAGAAAGAUACAUAGACCAUCUUUGUUUAUCUGAUUAUAAUAAGACAUUUUUAUCUUUUAGGACAUGGGAAAUGUUUGAAAAGCUGUACUAAAUAAUUACCAAACCAUGUCCACAAUCACUAAUAUAGUUUAAUUUUUUAUUUAUUUUAAAACAGUGCAAUACAUUUGCUAUAAAGCAGGCAUGUAAUACACAAUACAAUAUACAAUACCCCUCAUAAAUCUUUUUAUAUCCACUGUUGCUUUCACGCUUAUAUAUUUCUAUCCCUCACUAGCGUGCUUCCCUCCCCCUGAGCCACUUCUUUUAAAUAUUAUCUGUCCAAUAUUUCAUUUCCUAAUAUAAUCACUAAUAUAAUGACACAACCAGUUUUGAAUGAUGGUUGUGGUUCUUAUUGCUAGAGAACCAUGGUGGAUUUGAGAUCUUUUUAAAAAUCAGAUUUGUGAGGAGAUGGCAUGAUGUAUGAAAAUUAACACACUCCCCAAUCCCUGCUCCCCUAUAUUAACUGUAGAUCUGAUGUGGCUGUGCCAUUUCUUCCAUCCUUUUCCUAAACUUAAAUCUUGGCAAGCUGGGCCCUAGCAAUGCAAUUCUCUGGAUGUUGGCCCUUGGAGAUAUAAAAAAGGGUGCAAUAGGAUGUAGCCACAGAAUAAUUGCCAUUCUGUAUGAACAAAAACAGCUGGGAUUUAUACCUUUGGUUCGGAGGCUGUUGCUCCCGCCUCUUCCUCAGCUUUUAGUCUCAUUUUGCUGUCGUUGGAAGUAUUCCCGCUUGUCUUUUUCAUGCUGACAGGCACAGAGGUUUUAGGCGCAUCAACUGCUGGCUUGCUAGAUUCUUGUAAAGAUUUCUGAUGCGAGAUCAUGUGCUGCUCAGUUCGGAGAGCACUUUGCAUUUUUGGUUUCACAGUUUCCUUCUCGCUUUGCUUUCUUAGACCGUUCGCAGACUCCUGAGCAAAAGACUUUGUCUUUACUGCUGUUGCAGAUUCUGAGUAACUUCCAUUGGUUUCCAGUUUUCCUGCUUCUCCUUUCAGGUAUGAGGUAAUAGAAUCUCUACAUUGGGCAGGGCUACAAAAGGAAGCAGGGACAGAUAGACAAACAAUUAAAUAAUGACACCAGGAUAUAGGGAUGGCUUAACAGCUGGGAAUUGUAACUAAAUCCCACGGCUCUUAAAAUGCUACAAACUCACUGCAAUUCUGCAGUGUGGAUAUAUACCGCAAGGGUUAGGAAUGAGUUGUGGUCACAUUUUCUGGUGGCAUUAAAUUGUCAAGUGAGAACAAAAAAAGAUGAGUUCCAAAAGGUUCUUCUCAAAUUGAGAGAAUAGACUGUAAAAUGACAAUUGUGGUUCAAAUUAAGUCAAGUGGGAAACAAUGCAUAAUGGGGUUUGGGGGUAGAAUCCCACUUCUCACAUUUGUGGUGGGGAGCAAGUAAGGGGAGACAUGACAGUUAGAUAUAAAAUAAUGCAUGGUGCAGAGGAAGUAUAUAGGACAGUCUGUCAUAAAACAAAAACAUGGCAUUAUUUAUUAAAGUUGAAAGUGAAGGAAAUUCAGGACAGAUAGAAUGAAAUUCGUUUUCACACAGCACACAAUUAAAACUGUAGAAUUAAUGCCACCAAAUGCCUCUAACUUGGAUGGUUUUCAGGUGGGACUGCAUAAAUUAAAGGGAAUAUGCCAUCAAUAAUAAUUAGUCAGGAUGCCUUAUCUAUCACAAGAAAUAUCAGACACAGAAUGCUUCUGUAUAUAGGUUUCUGGGAUUCACAAGAUUCAGGAUGCAAUCACAUGCUGUAGGGCAGUGGUUCUCAACCUGUGGGUCCCCAGAUGUUUUGGCCUUCAACUCCCAGAAAUCCUAACAGCUGGUAAACUGGCUGGGAUUUCUGGGAGUUGUAAGCCAAAACACCUGGGGACCCACAGGUUGAGAACCCCUGCUGUAGAGGGUCUUCCUACUGGUAAUGUGACUAGAAUAUUGUACUACAUAGGCUGUGGUCUGAAUCAUCAUGACUUUUAUAUUCAUAUCGACAAGAUGAAGGCACAGAUGUUGCCAUCAAAAUAUAAACCUCUUGGUCAUCUCUAUCUUGAGGUCAGGACUAGAAGAAUUGCAAGGGAGUCAUGAGAGCAUUGCAAUGUGAAAGCCUGCUGCCCGUAUAGCUUGUGUAUCAACUGUAAGGUGUUGUUGUGAAGGCAACAGCACCUAACUUCCACUAAAAUUUCUCAUCCUGUCCCUUUGCUUCAAAGGUAAGCCAGGUACAAAGGAAAAGAGCAGAAUGAUCUAUGUAGAUGAUUGACAGACCCCAAAGAAAACAAAAAGGUGUGAUGCACUUUGGUUGUAGCUAAUAUGGCAGGCAACAUCUUCCAGUCCAUUGCUCAUUAUUCUGGUUCCUUCGUGUGGCAUAGUCCUUCAGGAGAAUAGUCCCUCAGAAAUGAAAACUAACAAGAUUAAGGGGAAUAACCCAUGGAGAAAAAGCAAUUGGUUGAUUAUUUAUUUAUUUAAUAUUUAUGUCUUUUGUAUCCUGCCUUUCUCACCUGACAGGACUCGAGAUGAUAAAAGUUGUUACCCUGUCUCACCUCUAGAGACUCACCAUUACACCACAAGCUAGGUGAAUCAGAAUUUGGGAAAGUUAUACUUUUAAGACUACACUUCUGAGAAUUCUUGGAUUAUUAUAUAAGCGUCGCAAGGCUUGGUAGUCUUCCUGCAAGCCUCAUAAGACUUGCAGAAGGUCUACAAUAGGCUAUUAAAAAUGCUCAUCAUCACGCUGUACCAUCUCAAGUGCCCAAAAUGGUACAGAACUUAUUAAUCCCUAUUAAAAAUGGCCACCACAGCUCCCCUCCACCCCAUGUGUACAAAAUGUUGUCUGUGAUGUAUUCUUUGGGCUCCUCUGCAUUACUACUGAAAAAAGAAGCCCAAAGUUGUACAAGAAAGAAGGAGGGAUGGCUACCUUUCUUUCCCUGAUUUGGGAAAGGGAGAGGUAAUGGGAUGGGAACACCGCUUCUUUGUACUGUCCUGCCCUCUGGUGUUUGCAUUGGACCAACAAAAGAGGUAGGUGGAUUUCCUUGCUCUUUUGCCUUCCUUUUUCAGACUACUUUCUUAUUCUUUUUCCUCAUUUAUAUUUGUACUGAUGCAAACAUUUUAAGAUUAACAAUACAAUUUUCACACACUUCCUCAAUUGUAAUCAUUCAAAUAAACAGAUCCCCUCCCUC
This is a long non-coding RNA of Anolis carolinensis (green anole), 6965 nucleotides long. RefSeq lists it as uncharacterized. NCBI's taxonomy places the organism in Eukaryota, Metazoa, Chordata, Lepidosauria, Squamata, Anolidae. The record is from RefSeq and is a predicted model, not a curated record. The transcript has 3 exons.